Non-coding RNA from Halobacterium hubeiense, 430 nucleotides. It matches the Rfam family "Archaeal RNase P". From Rfam's summary of the family: Ribonuclease P (RNase P) is a ubiquitous endoribonuclease, found in archaea, bacteria and eukarya as well as chloroplasts and mitochondria. Its best characterised activity is the generation of mature 5'-ends of tRNAs by cleaving the 5'-leader elements of precursor-tRNAs. Cellular RNase Ps are ribonucleoproteins. The record is from Rfam. NCBI's taxonomy places the organism in Archaea, Methanobacteriati, Methanobacteriota, Halobacteria, Halobacteriales, Halobacteriaceae.
AGCAGAGGGAGCCUGGCUCCCGUGCCGCGAGGCAUGAGGAAAGUCCCCCCACCCGUUCGGGCAGGCGGCCGGAUGCAAAUCCGGGACGGGAGACCGUCGGCACUGGAACAGAGACGACACGUCCCUCUCGAACCGAUGAGGCGCGCGACCCGACCCGCGAGGGGAGGAAGCUAACCCGCCGAGGGAAGCGCGGCUUCGCCGCGUUACACGCGAACGGCGCAAGCCGUGAGCGAGCGUGACCGACGAACGUCGGUCACGUUACAGGUGCGCGGCGUCAGCCGCGAGCCAGACGGGAGGGGACCGAUGGAACGGCUAAUCCCCGCCGGUGCAAGUCCACGCGCGCAAGGUAGCCCGACACGCCCGCAAGGGGCCGCGUGGACGCUCAGCCGAAUGCCAGGCCGAACAGAAGGGGGCUUACUCCCCUCCAGCU